RNAcentral lists this ribosomal RNA (505 nucleotides) under uncultured bacterium. RNAcentral's name for it is "partial 16S ribosomal RNA". It matches the Rfam family "Bacterial small subunit ribosomal RNA", at positions 28 to 507 of the family's 1533-position model. The record is from RNAcentral.
GACGAACGCUGGCGGCGUGCCUAAUACAUGCAAGUAGAACGCACAGUUUAUACCGUAGCUUGCUACACCAUAGACUGUGAGUUGCGAACGGGUGAGUAACGCGUAGGUAACCUGCCUGGUAGCGGGGGAUAACUAUUGGAAACGAUAGCUAAUACCGCAUAAUAUUAAUUAUUGCAUGAUAAUUAAUUGAAAGGUGCAAUUGCACCACUACCAGAUGGACCUGCGUUGUAUUAGCUAGUAGGUGAGGUAACGGCUCGCCUAGGCGACGAUACAUAGCCGACCUGAGAGGGUGAUCGGCCACAACGGGACUGAGACACGGCCCAGACUCCUACGGGGAGCAGCAGUAGGGAAUCCUCGGCAAUGGACGAAAGGCCUAACGAAGAAAGGCGCGUGAGUGAAGAAGGUUUUCGGAUCGUAAAGCUCUGGUGUAAGAGAAGAACGGGUGUGGGAGUGGAAAGUUCACACUGUGACGGUAUCUUACCAGAAAGGGACGGCUAACUACGUG